UACGAAAGGGGCUAGCGUUGUUCGGAAUCACUGGGCGUAAAGCGCACGCAGGCGGAUGUGUCAGUCAGGGGUGAAAUCCCGGGGCUCAACCUCGGAACUGCCUCUGAUACAGCACGUCUCGAGUCCGGAAGAGGUGGGUGGAAUUCCUAGUGUAGAGGUGAAAUUCGUAGAUAUUAGGAAGAACACCGGUGGCGAAGGCGGCCCACUGGUCCGGUGCUGACGCUGAGGUGCGAAAGCGUGGGGAGCAAACAGG
This 253-nucleotide ribosomal RNA is filed under the name uncultured bacterium. Its description in RNAcentral is "partial 16S ribosomal RNA". It matches the Rfam family "Bacterial small subunit ribosomal RNA", at positions 524 to 776 of the family's 1533-position model. The record is from RNAcentral.